GGUGAAAACUUGCUGUCAAAAAAAAAAAAAGGGUGAAAACUUAUGCGAAAUGUGCUUGAUUAUGAUCAACCAUUGUUUUUUUCAAAUUAGUAAAUAGUUCUUGCAUGAGGCAAAAAUACAGUAUAACGCUAGUAGUUCUUGCUUCAGAACUCAAUUUAGCUGUGCUUAAAGAGGUAAAAAAUGUUUCAAUUUAGGGUUUAAGAGGAACAAUUUAUGACUUGAUAGCUCGAGCUUGGUUUCUUAUUGAAAGUCUCUGUCUUGAGCAUAAAUCAUAUUGCAUUGACUGGUUUCUUGUCCGUAUAUGAUUUGGAUCAUGAAACAGAGCACCUCUGCUUGGCUUUUAAGCUUUUUGUUUGUGUUGCUUGUGCUUACAAUGCAGGCGAGGAUUGUUCAUUUCAAUUCAGAAGUGUUGACGUCUCCUACAAUGCAAUCAACUCUUUUUAGGGCAAUACAUUGGUCUAAAAAGUUUGGAGGGCUUAUAUUCUUUGACUUGAAUCUACCAUUACCGCUAUGGAGAUCGCGCAAUGAGACUAGGAAGUUGAUCAAGAAAGCAUGGAAUGAAGCAAACAUCAUUGAAGUUUCACAGCAAGAGCUUGAGUUUCUGCUUGAUGAAGAUUACUACGAGAGAAGAAGAAACCACACACCACAAUACUUUGCUGAGGAUUUUGAUCAGACGAAAAACCGAAGAGACUAUUACCACUACACACCAGAGGAAAUCAAGUCAUUGUGGCAUGAGAAGCUGAGCUAUUGGUUGUGACUGAUGGAACACUUCGGCUUCAUUACUAUACUCCUACUUUUGAUGGAGUUGUGGUUGGAACGGAAGAUGUGCUUAUAACUCCUUUCACCUGUGAUAGGACAGGUUCUGGUGAUGCUGUUGUUGCAGGGAUAAUGAGAAAGCUAACAACUUGUCCUGAGAUGUUUGAGGACCAAGAUGUGUUGGAGCGACAGCUCCGGUUUGCAGUUGCUGCUGGGACCAUAGCGCAGUGGACAAUUGGUGCAGUUAGAGGUUUCCCUACUGAAAGCGCGACACAAAAUUUGAAAGAACAAGUUUAUGUUCCAUCAAUGUGGUAGAAUAGAGAAGAUGAAGAACUCAACUUGUGUACUCAAUGUUUUUGAACAAUGUGUGAGAUGUAUACUGAUUCAAAUUUGUAAUCCAAUGAAAUGUACAAUCAAUUUUUGAGUUAAGUCU
Arabidopsis lyrata subsp. lyrata is the source of this 1189-nucleotide RNA transcript. It is a transcript of the gene named fructokinase-like 1, chloroplastic, with no coding region annotated. The record is from RefSeq and is a predicted model, not a curated record. The transcript has a single exon. NCBI's taxonomy places the organism in Eukaryota, Viridiplantae, Streptophyta, Magnoliopsida, Brassicales, Brassicaceae.